GGAGGAGGCGGCCCUGGCGCGGGGAAGCAGUGGGAAAAUCGCAAGGAAGCCGGCGCUGCUCUGAAGGGAGAGUCUGUGCAGUGGCACCUGCGCGAAGCUGGCCAAAGCCUGCCCAGACGGCUCACCUGUGCGGGAUGGAACAAAAGAAUUUCGCUCUUGUUGCCCACUGUUGUCCAGGCUGGAGUGCAAUGGCACGAUCUCAGCUCACCACAACCUCCGCCUCCUGGGUUCAAGUGAUUCUCCUACCUCAGCCUCCUGAGUAGCUGGGAUUACAGAUGGAGUCUCGCUCUGUCGCCACAGUGCAGUGGUGCUAUCUGGGCUCACUGCAACCUCCAUCUCCCGGAUUCAAGCGAUUCUCCUGCCUCAGCCUCCCGAGUAGCUGGGACUACAGGCACCUGCCACCACGUCCAGCUCAUUUUUUUGUAUUUUUAGUAGAGACGGGGCUUCACCAUGUUGACUAGGAUGGUCUCGAUCUCCUGACCUCGUGAUCCGCCUGCCUCGGCCUCCCAAAGUGCUGGGAUUACAGGUGCUCAUCAUCCAGUUUCUAUAAUAAUUGAUGACCAAAUUUUUUCCU
This 574-nucleotide long non-coding RNA is filed under the name Homo sapiens (human). RNAcentral describes it as "HSALNT0331382". Lineage: Eukaryota; Metazoa; Chordata; Mammalia; Primates; Hominidae. The record is from RNAcentral.